This is a non-coding RNA of Schizosaccharomyces pombe (fission yeast), 432 nucleotides long. NCBI's taxonomy places the organism in Eukaryota, Fungi, Ascomycota, Schizosaccharomycetes, Schizosaccharomycetales, Schizosaccharomycetaceae. The record is from the annotation of a GenBank genome assembly.
AACCGACUCCCUGCUGAGGAAAAGGAUCGUACUCUGUAAUAUCUCAAAAUGAAUAGAAGAAAAUGCAUAGGCGCUAGGACUAGUUAACCGAAUGGUCAGUUGGUUUAAGAAGAAAGUCAAUAUUCUCGAACUUCCUUGAAAAAAUAUGGAGGAGCGCAGUCCCUUCGAGGACGACUGCAGCAAAGAAUCAGAUUUAUCCAUUAGCUAGUUGGUACUGAUCUAGAUUCAAAGAAUUAUACUACAAGUCAAUAGUUGUUUACCUCUUUCUUCCAUUAAUGUCCCAACUUUUUUUAUGUAAUUCGUAUUCUAACUUAUAAAUGAGAUAUUUACUUGGUGGAUUUGGCGCAUAAAUGGGUGUCUCUUGAGCGCGCAGUUAACUUUUCAGGACACAUUACUAACAUAGAGCAUUAAGGAAUUCUACAAUAUACUUGA